AGUCAAGUUAUUAAGGGCUCACGGUGAAUGCCUUGGGAUCAAGGACCGAUGAAGGGCGCGGUAAGGCUGCGAUAAGCCUCGAUUAGCCGUCUAACGGGCUUAGUCGAGGAUUCCCGAAUGGGGAAACCUGUUCCGGUGUUGAGCCGGUUCAUCUGCAUAGCAGAGGGUAAGUGGGGGAACUGAAACAUCUAAGUACCCCGAGGAAAAGAAAUCAACCGAGAUUCCCUAAGUAGCGGCGAGCGAACGGGGACCAGCCCUUAAGCUGAACAACUGGUAGGAGAAGGCUCUGGAAAGUGCCGCCAUAGUGGGUGAUAGCCCCGUAUCCGCAAC
Molecule: ribosomal RNA, 330 nt
Filed under: SAR202 cluster bacterium
Lineage: Bacteria; Bacillati; Chloroflexota; Dehalococcoidia
Description: partial 23S ribosomal RNA
Rfam family: Bacterial large subunit ribosomal RNA
Source: RNAcentral